This 453-nucleotide unclassified non-coding RNA is filed under the name Hevea brasiliensis (rubber tree). Lineage: Eukaryota; Viridiplantae; Streptophyta; Magnoliopsida; Malpighiales; Euphorbiaceae. The record is from RNAcentral.
CACCUUCCCAUACCAUACUCUUGUCCUUCCUCACAACAACAAACUUAUACUGAAUAGACUCACCCCCUCUUAACUCCACAUCACAAACCCAUCCAGACUCUGUCCAAUUCAUUGGCACCUUCUUCUUCCACAGACCUAAUUCUUUGGCAGACCCUAAAAUCACUACAUGCUCACCAAAUUCAACUUGGUGAUCNACGUUAAGCUGAACCUUUCCAUUCCCCGACUUCGAUUUGGCUUUUUGCAUCUUCUUCUCUCCCUCUCUUGUUUCAGUAGGAGAAACACCGCAAAUGAUUCUAUGAAUGGUGCUUGAUCGAUAGCGAAGAGGAAAAGAAAUCCCAGGAUUACGAAGAGCAUGGAAGAAAUUCAAUCGCUUUCCGUGGAAAUUGAGUCUGGGGGAAGAAUUAGAGAGGUGCAAUACACGCAGAGAAUCCAUUUCUGUGAAGAGAAAGAUUG